This 869-nucleotide long non-coding RNA is filed under the name Vigna radiata. Its description in RNAcentral is "long non-coding RNA (VRAD_LNC000914)". The record is from RNAcentral. Lineage: Eukaryota; Viridiplantae; Streptophyta; Magnoliopsida; Fabales; Fabaceae.
UGUUGAAGCAAGGAACUUGGAGAAAAAAUCAAAGGAAGAGAUGAAGAAGCCAGAGUCAUGCAUAGAUGGAGGGUCCAGUGGUGGUUAGGGUGGAGGAAGUGGUGGUUUAGGAGGAGGGUACGGAGGUGGAGCUGGUAGUGGUUUAAGUGGUGGAUUUGGAGGAGACGGUGGAGGUGGUAGUGGUCUAGGUGUUGGAAUUGGUGGACUUGCAGGUGGUGCCAGUGCCGGUGCUGGGAUAGUUUGUGGAAUUGGUGGAAUUGGUGGAGGCAUUUACAAGGGAAUUGGAAUUGGAGGUGUUGGAGGUGGUGUAGGUGCCAUAGGUGGAAUUGGUGGUGUCAUUGGUGGUUUCGAGCAUGUUGACGACAAUAAGCCUUGAAACAUUUACCUUAAAUAAUUGCAGACUCGUGACGAUAUAGUUCUAUCAUCAGUGUUUCAUUUUCGCUUGCUAUUUUAAUUUGUUUUCAUUUUGUAUCCACAAAUAAGUUCACCUACGUACCUAGAUGCAUGCAUGCUAAAUUUUCAUGUUAUGUAAAAGAUUCCAAGAAUAUAUACUUGUCGUACAACAUUGCAUGUCUUGAAUUGUAUACAUAUAUCUUUGCAUUACGAGGAUGCUGAGUUGCUGUUAUAGUAAUUUUCAAAACAUAUAUGUACUGAACUUUAAACGUACAUUGUUUUCUGUUUGUUGUUCCAUUUUUGUUUCUAUAUCGCCUUAUAUUUCUCAUUGCCACCUUAGGAUAAGGCAUGAUGGCUUUAGAUUUCUAUAUUUUUUUUUUAUUUUUCCUUUUAGUUCAUAUUCUUCUUUCUUUCAAACAAAUUUUAAUUCAGUUUUAAUUCUUUUCUUUUUCAUUUUAAUAUUUUUACUGUCCCCA